RNAcentral lists this ribosomal RNA (460 nucleotides) under uncultured bacterium. RNAcentral describes it as "partial 16S ribosomal RNA". It matches the Rfam family "Bacterial small subunit ribosomal RNA", at positions 338 to 795 of the family's 1533-position model. The record is from RNAcentral.
CCUACGGGAGGCAGCAGUGAGGAAUAUUGGUCAAUGGGCGAGAGCCUGAACCAGCCAAGUCGCGUGAGGGAAGACGGUCCUACGGAUUGUAAACCUCUUUUGCCGGGGAGCAAAAGGAUCCUUGCGCCGGCCCUGAGAGUGUCCCCAGAAAAAACACCUCGUCUAACUCCGUGCCAGCAGCCGCGGUAAUCCGGAGGAUGCGGGCGUUAUCCGGAUUUAUUGGGGUUAAGGGGUGCGUAGGCGGGCUGUUAAGUCAGCGGGAAAAUUUUGGGGCUCAACCACCGCCUGCCGUUGAAACUGGCGGUCUAGAGGGGGCGAGAAGUAUGCGGAAUGCGUGGUGUAGCGGUGAAAUGCAUAGAUAUCACGCAGAACCCCGAUUGCGAAGGCAGCAUACCGGCGCACGACUGACGCUGAGGCACGAAAGCGUGGGUAUCGAACAGGAUUAGAUACCCGAGUAGUC